UACGUAGGGGGCUAGCGUUAUCCGGAUUUACUGGGCGUAAAGGGUGCGUAGGCGGUCUUUCAAGUCAGGAGUGAAAGGCUACGGCUCAACCGUAGUAAGCUCUUGAAACUGCAAGACUUGAGUGCAGGAGAGGAGAGUGGAAUUCCUAGUGUAGCGGUGAAAUGCGUAGAUAUUAGGAGGAACACCAGUUGCGAAGGCGGCUCUCUGGACUGUAACUGACGCUGAGGCACGAAAGCGUGGGGAGCAAACAGGAUUAGAUACCCGGGGUAGU
RNAcentral lists this ribosomal RNA (271 nucleotides) under uncultured prokaryote. Its description in RNAcentral is "partial 16S ribosomal RNA". It matches the Rfam family "Bacterial small subunit ribosomal RNA", at positions 524 to 794 of the family's 1533-position model. The record is from RNAcentral.